RNAcentral lists this transfer RNA (73 nucleotides) under Stegodyphus mimosarum. It matches the Rfam family "tRNA". Rfam says of the family: Transfer RNA (tRNA) molecules are approximately 80 nucleotides in length. Their secondary structure includes four short double-helical elements and three loops (D, anti-codon, and T loops). The record is from Rfam by way of RNAcentral. Lineage: Eukaryota; Metazoa; Arthropoda; Arachnida; Araneae; Eresidae.
GUCUUCGUGGUGUAGUGGUCAGCAUACUGGAUGCAUAACCUAGAGGUCCAUGGUUCGAUUCCUGGUGAAGUUG